GGCGGAGCUGGGAUAUUAUCUGUGCGCAUGCGCCAACGCUAUAUCCGGUGUGGUGGUCUGGUCAGUUAGGAGUUUGAGGGUACGCCGGCGGGAAUAUUCAGCUUGAAGCCGACUGUAGCCAUGUCGGCGUCUGUGUUGUCGGUCAUCUCGCGGUUUUUAGAAGAGUACUUGAGCUCCACUCCUCAGCGUUUGAAGUUGUUGGACGCAUACCUCCUGUAUAUACUGCUGACCGGAGCGCUGCAGUUCGGUUAUUGUCUCCUCGUGGGGACCUUCCCCUUCAACUCCUUCCUCUCGGGCUUCAUCUCUUGUGUGGGGAGCUUCAUCCUAGCGGUUUGUCUGAGAAUACAGAUCAACCCACAAAACAAGGCGGAUUUCCAAGGCAUCUCCCCAGAGCGAGCCUUUGCUGAUUUUCUCUUUGCCAGCACCAUCCUUCACCUUGUUGUCAUGAACUUCGUUGGCUGAAUCAUUCCUGUUUACUUAACUGAGGAGGAGGAGACUAGAAGAAUAACAACCUCUUGAGGAUAAACUUGCUAAUUCCACUUAUGAAUGGGAAACUGAGAUUCAAGGAGCCUUGCUGGAAAUCUUUUAAGUCUGAUAAUCCAGUCUGAUGUCAAAAAAUGUUUUUAAUCUCUAUUUUCACUUGUGUUACUUGCUCAAUCUUGUCCGACUCUUUGCAACCCCACAGACUGUAGCCCGCCAGGCUCCUCUGUCCAUAGGGAUUCUUUAGGUUCACCUUUUAAUUUCCCCUGGAUAAGAGCUCUUUGAGAUGGCAGUUUGCUGGACACAUGGACUUUCUUCAGAUUUAUGCUUACUACCAACUCCUUGGGGUGCAGGUGGAGAGCCUAGAGAAGCUCCCUGCCUUCCGAGCCAGAACAACUUUGUAAUGAGCAUUUGUUAGCAUAGCCUCUGCCUUCCAUACAGUGUAACCUUUCUGCCUUCCAAAUUAAAAAGCUCCAUGCCCCUCCUU
This is an RNA transcript of Cervus elaphus (red deer), 967 nucleotides long. It is a transcript of the gene named defender against cell death 1, with no coding region annotated. The transcript is spliced from 4 exons. NCBI's taxonomy places the organism in Eukaryota, Metazoa, Chordata, Mammalia, Artiodactyla, Cervidae. The record is from RefSeq and is a predicted model, not a curated record.